AACUAGAAAUAGCUCAAAACACAACAUGAACUACUACUCUAAAAACAUUUAGUAAAUCAUUUAUAGAAUAAAAGUAUAGGUGAUAGAAAUUUUUACUCGACGCUAUAAAGACAGUACCGCAAGGGAAAUAAUGAAAGAGACCUGUAAGUAAAAAAUAGCAAAGUUUAACCCUUGUACCUUUUGCAUAAUGACUCAACUAGAAAAUAUUUGCAAAAAGAAUUUAAGUUAAUAGACCCGAAACCAGACGAGCUACCCCUUAGCAGCCUAAUAGGGCAAACUCAUCUAUGUGGCAAAAUAGUGAGAAGACUAGUGGGUAGAGGCGAAAAACCUAUCGAGCCUGGUGAUAGCUGGUUGUCCAGGACAGAAUUUCAGUUCUAAUUUAAGCUUACCAUAAAAACAACAAAUUAAAAUGUAAGCUUAAAUGAUAGUCUAAAAGGGUACAGCCUUUUAGACAUAGGAUACAACCUUUAUUAGAGAGAAAAUAAAAGAACGAACUACUCUAGUUGGCCUAAAAGCAGCCACCAAGCAAGAAAGCGUUCAAGCUCGAUAGUACAUGAAAACUAAUCCCAACUAUUUAAGAGCACUCCUAAUGUAUAACUGGACUAUUCUAUUUUCUAAAUAGAAGAAAUAAUGUUGACACGAGUAACAAGAAUAUAUUUCUCCCUGCACACGUGUAUAUCAGAACGAAUAUCCCACUGAUAAUUACCAAGAUGAUAUAAUCAAAAAAUUAAACCCCAACACAAACUGUUAAUCCAACACAGGGGUGCAGAUCAGGGAAAGAUUAAAAGAAGUAAAAGGAACUCGGCAAACAUAGAUCCCGCCUGUUUACCAAAAACAUCACCUCUAGCAUAAAAAGUAUAGAGGCAAGCCUGCCCAGUGACAUUAGUUCAACGGCCGCGGUAUCCUGACCGUGCAAAGGUAGCAUAAUCACUUGUUCUCUAAAUAAGGACUGGUAUGAAUGGCUUCACGAGGAUUUAACUGUCUCUUACUUCUAAUCGGUGAAACUGACUUUCCCGUGAAGAGGCGGGGAUGGGCUAAUAAGACGAGAAGACCCUAUGGAGCUUUAAUUAAUUAACUCACAAGUGACAAUAAUCUUCUACAGGAAAUUAAACUAACACCUACUGAGUUAAUAAUUUGGGUUGGGGUGACCUCGGAAUAAAAAACAACUUCCAAGAGAUUUUAAUUAAGACAAACAAGUCAAAAUUAUUACAUAUCCACAUUGAUCCAUCAAAGAUGACCAACGGAACAAGUUACCCUAGGGAUAACAGCGCAAUCCUAUUUAAGAGUCCAUAUCGACAAUUAGGGUUUACGACCUCGAUGUUGGAUCAGGACAUCCCAAUGGUGUAGCAGCUAUUAAUGUGUUCGUUUGUUCAACGAUUAAAGUCCUACGUGAUCUGAGUUCAGACCGGAGUAAUCCAGGUCGGUUUCUAUCUAUUCUAGUGUCUUUCCCAGUACGAAAGGACAAGAAAGACGAGGUCCCCUUGAACCAAGCACCUCACAAGACAGAUGAAUUAAUCUUAAACUAAAAAUACAAACAAUUGCCCAAGAAAAGGGCCUA
RNAcentral lists this ribosomal RNA (1558 nucleotides) under Murina leucogaster (Greater tube-nosed bat). RNAcentral describes it as "16S ribosomal RNA". It matches the Rfam family "Bacterial large subunit ribosomal RNA". Lineage: Eukaryota; Metazoa; Chordata; Mammalia; Chiroptera; Vespertilionidae. The record is from RNAcentral.